RNAcentral lists this long non-coding RNA (1453 nucleotides) under Panax ginseng (ginseng). RNAcentral describes it as "long non-coding RNA (PGIN_LNC011411)". Lineage: Eukaryota; Viridiplantae; Streptophyta; Magnoliopsida; Apiales; Araliaceae. The record is from RNAcentral.
ACGAGUGUGACGCCCCCAAAAUAGGUAUACAUCACCCAUUCUGAGUCGUCAAAUACGUGGUACAAAAUUCAAAUACAACUAAUACAACUAUCGUGUAAAUACGACAAAACAUAUGCUGAGACUUUAAAUACGAAUAUUGUCUUCUAGAUAAUAUUCACACUUAAAUUCAAUCUUAUUACAAUUAUUAUCACACUAUUUCAUAGAAUAAUGAGGACUACUAAGACACCCAUCUGGACCGUCACUCCGUUUUCCGACUAGUCCCAGCUAUAUUCUCAUUUCCUGAAGAGAACAAUGAAAGAAAAGGGGUGAGCUCAACUAGCCCAGUAAGAAAUUUUAUGACUAAGAUAAUGCAAAUAAAUUAUCAUUAGCCUUCAAAAGUGUUAAGCUGAUAGAAUAUAAUAGACAACAAGUUUAACUGCAGCGGAACAAAUAAUCCAUUAGAAGAGUCAAGUAGAGCAUGAUAUCUACUAUCUUCUAUGAUUUAAUAGUUAUCAUCAAUUUUAUCGCUGAGACUCAGCUUAAUAAAUAAACCACAUCGCUGAAUUAUCCAUGCACUACGAGCCAAGGAUAUCCAUUAUUAUCACCGGUUGGUCAUGUUCAUCUCACCAACUAUCCAUCAAUGCACUACGGGCCAAUGAUGAUUUUUACCACAUCAUUCAUUACAUUACGGUAAUGAUUAUACCGAAUAAUCUCUGGUCAUAAUCAUACCAAGUCUAUCUAUGCACGUAAGCCCAAGAUGACUUUCAUCACAAUAUAAGCAUGAGGAUGAUGACAAUGAUAUAAGAUUCAAUAAAACAAGUUCAAGAAUUAAUUUAUCUAGGAACCAAUAACGUCCAAAUUAUCAACAUGAUACUUCUUUGUAGAGUAAAAUUCAAGAAUGCUCAGAAGAAUAUUUCCAUGAAAAGAUACUGGAUGAAGCGCAAAUAUCAAGGAUAUUCCACUAAUUUCAUGGAGUAUGGACAUCAAAACUUUAACCAACUAAGUAUAAUAAAGAAUGGAAUAACAAAAUAAAUCACCAAGCAUGCGAUAGACCGCACAAACAGGUUAUUCGAACAGAAUAAUAAAUAAUGGAACCAGGUCAUGCGUAACGCACAGACAUGAUAUUCCAACAGAAUAAUAAAUAAUGGAACCAGGUUAUGCGUAAAGCACAGAUAGGGUGUUUCAACAGAAUGAUAAAUAAUGGAACUAGGUCAUGCGUAAAGCACAGACAGGAUGUUCCAACAGAAUAAUAAAGAAUGGAAUAACAGAAGAAUUUCACCAAGUAUAGGGUAGUCCGCAUAUACAAGUUAUUCCAACAGAAUAAUAAAGAAUGGAAUAACAGAAGUUCUCUUCAUGAAUACAAAAGAAAUAAUACCCCUUACCUUAGUAGGAAAUUGGAUACCGCAAUAUUGUAGUAACAGAAGAUUCUUCUUCUUUCUCUCUUAUUCUCUCUAUUUUUUCUCGCUCUAUAGCU